Long non-coding RNA from Hypomesus transpacificus, 363 nucleotides. RefSeq lists it as uncharacterized. The record is from RefSeq and is a predicted model, not a curated record. The transcript has 2 exons. NCBI's taxonomy places the organism in Eukaryota, Metazoa, Chordata, Actinopteri, Osmeriformes, Osmeridae.
CCUUCUGCGGCUUCUGCUCCUCCGCCUGUUAACGCAACAGUAGCUAUUCACCAUCAGUACUGAGAAGGCUACGAGCUCCGCUCUCUGUCAGAUGGAUGUCAGGCAAACCUCCAGACCGAUCUUUAAACCAAAUAUGUUGUUCCCACAUCAAGUCGUUACGAUAUGCAUUUGGUCUGGUCCUGUGGACGCGUCAAACAAAGGGUUGCGAGGACCUCUGCACAUCUCUACUCUGUGAAAGACCAAUCACUCUUUUGAUCUCUAAUGUAUUAGUCUACCCAAGUAGGCCUGAAAAAGUACAAGACACGGCCUGAAGAAAUUGAACUUCUAUGGAGUUUCCAACCCAAUAAACAGUAGUUUUACACA